Small nuclear RNA from Microplitis demolitor, 115 nucleotides. RefSeq annotates it as U5 spliceosomal RNA. Lineage: Eukaryota; Metazoa; Arthropoda; Insecta; Hymenoptera; Braconidae. The transcript has a single exon. The record is from RefSeq and is a predicted model, not a curated record.
UUACUCUGGUUUCCUUUCGACACAAAUUAAUAUUUCGCCUUUUACUGAAAAUUACCGUGGAGGAUUAAUUCCGCUGCAUUAUUUAAAAAUUUGAAAUUUUUUGAUUACGAAUGAC